AGUGAACGCUGGCGGUAGGCCUAACACAUGCAAGUCGAACGGCAGCACAGUAAGAGCUUGCUCUUACGGGUGGCGAGUGGCGGACGGGUGAGGAAUACAUCGGAAUCUACUUUUUCGUGGGGGAUAACGUAGGGAAACUUACGCUAAUACCGCAUACGACCUACGGGUGAAAGCAGGGGAUCUUCGGACCUUGCGCGACUGAAUGAGCCGAUGUCGGAUUAGCUAGUUGGCGGGGUAAAGGCCCACCAAGGCGACGAUCCGUAGCUGGUCUGAGAGGAUGAUCAGCCACACUGGAACUGAGACACGGUCCAGACUCCUACGGGAGGCAGCAGUGGGGAAUAUUGGACAAUGGGCGCAAGCCUGAUCCAGCCAUACCGCGUGGGUGAAGAAGGCCUUCGGGUUGUAAAGCCCUUUUGUUGGGAAAGAAAAGCAGCGGGUUAAUACCCCGCUGUUCUGACGGUACCCAAAGAAUAAGCACCGGCUAACUUCGUG
This 492-nucleotide ribosomal RNA is filed under the name uncultured bacterium. Its description in RNAcentral is "partial 16S ribosomal RNA". It matches the Rfam family "Bacterial small subunit ribosomal RNA", at positions 29 to 507 of the family's 1533-position model. The record is from RNAcentral.